GAUGAACGCUAGCGACAGGCUUAACACAUGCAAGUCGAGGGGCAACGGGACGUAGCAAUACGUUGCCGGCGACCGGCGGAUGGGUGAGUAACGCGUAUGCAACCUACCCACGACAGGGGGAUAGCCCGUUGAAAGACGGAUUAAUACCCCAUAAAACAGGGGUUCCGCAUGGGACUAUUUGUUAAAGGGUUCUCCGCGAGGGGGACAUCGGUUGUGGAUGGGCAUGCGUUCCAUUAGGCAGUUGGUGAGGUAACGGCUCACCAAACCGACGAUGGAUAGGGGAACCGAGAGGUUGGUCCCCCACACUGGUACUGAGAUACGGACCAGACUCCUACGGGAGGCAGCAGUGAGGAAUUUUGGUCAAUGGACGGAAGUCUGAACCAGCCAAGUCGCGUGAAGGAAGGCGGCCCUAAGGGUUGUAAACUUCUUUUGUAAGGGAAUAAAGUGCGUUACGUGUAGUGCAUUGCAAGUACCUUACGAAUAAGGAUCGGCUAACUCCGUGCCAGCAGCCGCGGUAAUACGGAGGAUCCGAGCGUUAUCCGGAUUUAUUGGGUUUAAAGGGUGCGCAGGCGGGGGAUUAGGUCGGCGGUGAAAUAUCAGGGCUCAACCUUGAGAGUGCCGUCGAAACCGGUUUUCUUGAGUGCGGAUGAAGUAGGCGGAAUUUGUGGUGUAGCGGUGAAAUGCGUAGAUAUCACAAAGAACACCGAUUGCGGAGGCAGCUUACUAAACCGCAACUGACGCUCAUGCACGAAGGCGUGGGGAUCAAACAGGAUUAGAUACCCUGGUAGUCCACGCAGUAAACGAUGAUUACUAGCUGUUUGCGAUACAAUGUAAGCGGCUGAGCGAAAGCGUUAAGUAAUCCACCUGGGGAGUACGUUCGCAAGAAUGA
Molecule: ribosomal RNA, 889 nt
Filed under: uncultured bacterium
Lineage: Bacteria
Description: bacterial SSU rRNA
Rfam family: Bacterial small subunit ribosomal RNA
Source: RNAcentral